RNAcentral lists this ribosomal RNA (497 nucleotides) under uncultured bacterium. Its description in RNAcentral is "partial 16S ribosomal RNA". It matches the Rfam family "Bacterial small subunit ribosomal RNA", at positions 28 to 507 of the family's 1533-position model. The record is from RNAcentral.
GAUGAACGCUGGCGGCGUGCCUAAUACAUGCAAGUCGAGCGAACAGAUAAGGAGCUUGCUCCUUUGACGUUAGCGGCGGACGGGUGAGUAACACGUGGAUAACCUACCUAUAAGACUGGGAUAACUUCGGGAAACCGGAUCUAAUACCGGAUAACAUAUUGAACCGCAUGGUUCAAUAGUGAAAGGCGGCUUUGCUGUCACUUAUAGAUGGAUCCGCGCCGUAUUAGCUAGUUGGUAAGGUAACGGCUUACCAAGGCAACGAUACGUAGCCGACCUGAGAGGGUGAUCGGCGACACUGGAACUGAGACACGGUCCAGACGACUACGGGAGGAAGCAGAAGGGAAUCUUACGCAAUGGGCGAAAGCCUGACGGAGCAACGCCGCGUGAGUGAUGAAGGUCUUCGGAUCGUAAAACUCUGUUAUCAGGGAAGAACAAAUGUGUAAGUAACUGUGCACAUAUUGACGGUAACUGAUCAGAAAGCCACGGCUAACUACGUG